RNAcentral lists this ribosomal RNA (416 nucleotides) under uncultured prokaryote. RNAcentral's name for it is "bacterial SSU rRNA". It matches the Rfam family "Bacterial small subunit ribosomal RNA", at positions 505 to 918 of the family's 1533-position model. The record is from RNAcentral.
GUGUCAGCAGCCGCGGUAAUACGGGGGGAGCAAGCGUUGUUCGGAUUUACUGGGCGUAAAGGGCGCGUAGGCGGCGCAACAAGUCACUUGUGAAAUCUCCGGGCUUAACCCGGAGCGGCCAAGUGAUACUGUCGUGCUAGAGUGCGGAAGGGGCUACUGGAAUUCUCGGUGUAGCGGUGAAAUGCGUAGAUAUCGAGAGGAACACCUGCGGCGAAGGCGGGUAGCUGGGCCGACACUGACGCUGAGGCGCGAAAGCCAGGGGAGCGAACGGGAUUAGAUACCCCGGUAGUCCUGGCCUUAAACGAUGGAUACUUGGUGUCCGGGGUUACAUAGUCCCCGGGUGCCGGCGCUAACGCAUUAAGUAUCCCGCCUGGGGAGUACGGUCGCAAGACUGAAACUCAAAUGAAUUGACGGAG